CACCUCAGAUGAUGCAGGAGGGGCCUCUGUAGUGCCGCCCCCUCUUUCACACAAACACACACACACCCUCCUGCCCUCCCAGUCCUACAGAAGAUCAGUUUGGAGAAGGUGCACCAGUGUUUGUGUUCAGAGCAGCUCUGUCCAGAUCUAGAGGGCCAGCAUGACUCUCCAAGCUCUCAUCCCAGUGUCUCUCUCUCUACUCUGGCUCACAGGUCACUGCCAGAAGAGUGAUGUCACACAGCAGCCAGGAACGAUCUGGAGUCUUGCCCGGAAAACUGCAGAGAUGAACUGCAGCCAUGAGAAAGACGUGAGUUACAAUCAGAUGUACUGGUUCAGACAGCGUCCAGGGGAGUCCAUGAUGCUCAUCGUGUUCACAAGCGUUGGUCUGCAGCCGGACUACGGAGAUCUCAGUAAAACCAAAUACUCAGCUGUUAAAUCUGUAGCUCAGAACGGAGCGUUCACUGUGAAGGACUUGACACCAGAGGACAGCGGGCUGUAUUUCUGUGCUGUCAGCCAACACAGUGAUACAGACUGAUUGUACAGCUGAACAAAAACUGGUUUGUGACAGCCUUGGGUUUGUUUUCCUGCAUCAUCAGAACAGAUGUGGUGUCUGUCCUGUAGGUGGAGCUACAGCUCAACAAGUCCUCCAGCACCAGGCUGGGGGUGAAGUCUUGUUCUGGAUCACACCAGAGCUCAGAGCUCCUCAGAGUCCCUGAACAUUUCUGGAGAGUCAACAUGAUCACAUGUCUCAUACUCACAGGGAUU
Osmerus eperlanus (European smelt) is the source of this 765-nucleotide non-coding RNA. The record is from the annotation of a RefSeq genome assembly. NCBI's taxonomy places the organism in Eukaryota, Metazoa, Chordata, Actinopteri, Osmeriformes, Osmeridae.